GAUGAACGCUGGCGGCGUGCCUAAUACAUGCAAGUCGAGCGAACGGACGAGAAGCUUGCUUUUCUGAUGUUAGCGGCGGACGGGUGAGUAACACGUGGAUAACCUACCUAUAAGACUGGGAUAACUUCGGGAAACCGGAGCUAAUACCGGAUAAUAUUUUGAACCUCAUGGUUCAAAAGUGAAAGACGGUCUUGCUGUCACUUAUAGAUGGAUCCGCGCUGCAUUAGCUAGUUGGUAAGGUAACGGCUUACCAAGGCAACGAUGCAUAGCCGACCUGAGAGGGUGGUCGGGCACACGGGAACUGAGAAACGGUCCAGACUCCGAAGGGAGGAAGCAGUAGGGAAUCUUCCGCAAUGGGGGAAAGCCGGACGGAGCAACGCCGCGUGAGUGAUGAAGGUCUUCGGAUCGGAAAACUCUGUUAUUAGGGAAGAACAUAUGUGUAAGUAACUGUGCACAUCUUGACGGUACCUAAUCAGAAAGCCACGGCUAACUACGUG
Molecule: ribosomal RNA, 497 nt
Filed under: uncultured bacterium
Lineage: Bacteria
Description: partial 16S ribosomal RNA
Rfam family: Bacterial small subunit ribosomal RNA
Source: RNAcentral